RNAcentral lists this long non-coding RNA (1969 nucleotides) under Homo sapiens (human). RNAcentral's name for it is "uncharacterized LOC130932201, transcript variant 9 (LOC130932201)". The record is from RNAcentral. Lineage: Eukaryota; Metazoa; Chordata; Mammalia; Primates; Hominidae.
GACAACCAGCCUUGCUCACGAAGCGUCAGCCGUAUCCUUUCUGUGUGCAGUGGGGUGUGGGUUGUGUGGAGCCGCGGUGUCUGUGGAAUUCACAGGCUGGGGCCGGAAUCCAUGGCCCCCGUCGCCGCUGCCACCCCCCAGGUGCUGGGGUGACCUGAUCCAGGGUUGGGGUCUAAGCUGCUGGGGGGUUGGAGUCUUGGGCUCUGGCCCACGUCCGCCUCUGAUUGGUUCUACCACCUGAGCCGGUCACUGACCCUCCAUGGGCCUCAGCUUACCCUAUGGUAAAGUGAGAACUAGGGGGUCAGACUCCUUGAUCACCAAGAUCUCUGACCACAGCCAAGGCUAAGGGAAGCGCAGGAAAACGUGGGGCUCGUCCAAAUUCCCAGCCUCUCUCUGCCCCCUGGUGGACGCCGGCAGCCUAGCACCCGGGGGGAGAUGACCCCGACACUGUGUGACCUCUGCCAAGGCACCCAUCCCUCUGAGCCCCAGUUCCCACCGGUUACAUAGGAAUGAUUAUAAUACCCACCUCUUUGGGCAAUUGUGAGGAGGCAAGGAGAUAAUACAUGCAAAGUGCUUGGAUGGGAUGGGUACUAGCCACUCAACAGAAGGCAGAUCCUAGAAUGGGGAUGGCAAGUCCUGUCAUCAGUGAAGAAUGUAAUGACUGCAAGCUUAGAUGACAUGUCUGUUACUGGAAACCAGAGUUGUUUACUUAAGCUGUAAAUGAACUCAUAGUCCCUGGGAUAAUUAUCUCACCUCUGGAUAAAUAAACUCAACAGCCUUAUGUAUUUUAUUAAUUUUUCUUAAAAAAAAGCUUAAAAUAUUUUUCCUUUGAUUUGUUCUCUUUCUUUGGUUUCUGACUUUAUUAUGUCCUUUCUUUCUGCUUAGGCAUUUGUUUUAUUGCUCUUUUUUCACCAACUCAAACUGAAUGGUCACCUUAACAGUUUUAUUGAGGUAUAAUUUACACACCAUAAAAUUCACCUGCUUUAAGGAUACUAUUCAAUGAUUUUUAGUACAGUUACAAAGUUAUGCAACCAUCAUCAAAACCCAAUUUUAGAAUAUUUCAAUCACCCAAAAAAGAAAUAUCACACCCAUUUACAGUUUAUCCCCUUUCCUGCCCCCAGCCUUAGGCAACCACUAAUCUACUUUAUAUAUAGAUUUGCCUUUCCUGGACAUUUCACAAAAAUUGAUUUACGCAAUGAAUGAGUAAAACCGUCUUCCAAAGGAAGAGGGCCUCCCAAGGCAGAUCCAUUAUUUAUUCUUCUCCAUCUUGUUCUGUGUUCCUGGAAGCCAACCUUUAUAAGCUGCAGGAAAUGGAUUUCCUACUCUCCACCUUCUGAUUGGGCUUGACCAACGGGGAGCACUGGCAGAAGACAAGCAUGGGAGGAAAAAGAGAUCAGGGCUGGAGUGCAGUGGCGUGAUCUCGGCUAGCUACAACCUCCACCUCCCAGCCGCCUGCCUUGGCCUCCCAAAGUGCCGAGAUUGCAGCCUCUGCCUGGCCGCCACCCCGUCUGGGAAGUGAGGAGCGCCUCUGCCCGGCCGUGACCCCGUCUGGGAACUGAGGAGUGUCUCUGCCCGACCGCCACCCCAUCUGGGAGGCCCAGCAUCCAAUUCAGUCGCCUUCAAGGAGUCUCUUCAGUCUAAUUUAUUCUAGAACAAUUCUUCAGGCUUCCCUUCUCUGGCCAAGAUUUUUGAAAAAUACAGGUCAAUGACUUUGUAGGUUGUCUUCAGUUUGGAUUUGUCUGCUGUGUCCUCAUGAUUUAUGCAUCUCUGGCAGGAAUACCACAGAAACGAUGCGACAUUCUUCUCAGUGUACCAUAUUAGGAGUCACACAAUGUCAACUUGUCCCAUUACUGCUGAUGUUAAUGUUUACCACUUGGCUAAGAUGAUGUCUGCCAGGUUUCUCCACUGGAAAGUUAACAGUAUUUAGUACGUGUUAAGUGAUGAGUAAUGAAUAAAUAUUUCAUAGGGA